UUAAUACUAAAUUGAGUUUUUUUAUGACUCCUUCGCUUCUGUAUAGUAUGAAAUACAUAUCUCGUGUAACAUAAUUUCAUGUAAACUCUGGACUUUAAUGACGACAAGUUGGAUGUAUGGUUUCCUGUAUUGUGUUUUAGGUCAGAAUGGUUAACAUUUUAUACUUGACAAAGAUUUGAACCUCCAAUUCUGAUCAUCCGUCUCUUUCUCAAAAUUUAUUAAAAACCACACUAUUUUUUUUAAAACUUGUGUAUCAAAUGCUAACCAUUCUUACCUAAAACAUGAUUAAGGAAACCGAAAUAUUGACACAGCGAGUUAUUUUAUUCUUAUGGAAGAUUAAAUUAUGCAUGACAAAAAUACAAUCGGAAAUAUUUUUUACAAUCUCUUGAUGCUUUAAAAAUAUUUUACUGUUAAAUAAAAUAACACGUCUGACUUGUCGUCAUUAAAAUCCAGAGUUUGAAUGAAAUUACGUUACACGAGAUACGCAUUUCAUACCAUAUAAGAGCAAAGGAGAUAUUAAGAACUUAAUUUAGUAUAAGCGACACGCUUACCUAAAUUUAAACUUUAAUCCAAUUCUUAAAACAAUAAAGUUGCAAGAUACAGUAACAUGCACGCACUUCCAUUUUGUGUGUUUUUUUUUCGUUCCAUUUUGUCAAAAUUUAUUUACAACCACACUCAUUCUUAAUAACAUUUGUAUCAAAUGCUUACCAUAACAAAGCCGUAAUCCUGUCGCUGUAAGUUAUUUUAUUCCUAUGAAAAUUUAAAUUAUGCAUGACAAACACAAAAUCCAAAAUAAUUUUGGAAUAUUUCUAUGCUUUAAAAAAUAUUUAACUGCACGGCCGACUUGUAGUCAUUAAACCCAGAGUUUAAAUGAAAAUACGCCACACGAGAUAUAUAUGUAUUUCAUAUCAAGUCAUGUGUGCUGAAUUAAUGUUACUCAGCUUUACAUAUUCUACCAUUUAUUAAUUAAACAGAACCUUGUCAAGUUGACGAUGCUUAUAAUUUGAGAAGUUAAUGAUUUAUAAUCAUCGAGGGGGGUAUUCCAGACGUAAAACAUUGCAUCAUUACAUGGAAAACAGCUGCACAACUGUAUGCGAAAGGUAAAACAGUAUAUUCUAUCGAGAACUAACUUGCAAUUUGCAUAGCAACGUCCGAAAUGUGCAAACUCCGACAUCUAUUUCGAUAUUUAUAAAUUCAAGAUAUAACGUUAACUGAACUGUUAUACAGAAAUCAAACUAUAAAACUUGUGUUUUGAUAAAAAAAAUAAGCAAAGCAAACCAAAAAAAAUUACCCUUUUAACGGCAAAACGAUUAAUUUAUCCAAUAUUCAACACAUGUAUUUCCAUUCAAAUUAUGAACUUGAACUUUAACGGUUGAUUGUCGUUUCGUGCCAAUACCAGUUCGUGCCACUAAUAUUUGUGUUGUUUAUUUUUAAAGAUGCAGCCAGAGCAGGGCGAAUAGACAAGAAGCCGAUGACGCUGCGUCGAGGGACCUGUCAUCUAUGCCCUGCUCAGCGACACCUCUCGUGGCUAUUGUUGAUGGGUCAGAGUGGGCUGACAAGAUACAGGUUAUAAGUAGUCUAUUUAUAUUUUGAUACAAAUUUUCUAUGUUUAUUCCGACAACCUUUUUAUUGGGAUUAUAUUUGUUUGACAUGUUUGUAGAUAUUUUGUUUUUUGUUUAUAUGUUAAAUAGAUUUGACGAAGAUGAUUCAUCCAUUGCGUCGCAGGCUCUCUUUGCAUUUAAUACGUAAAUCUCUGAUAUGAUGGUGAACAUGAUUUUGUCUGUAAUAUCAGAUUUAUGUAAACAAAAUUGAUUAUAUGUGCCUAGCAGUUGUAUGUUAGGUGCCUACAUACAUGCAUGUACUCAUGUUUUCUGAAUAUAAUUUGUUGCAUUAGAGACAUGGUAUUUAUUUCCCAGAUGUAAUUUUAAGUUAUAAAUGCAAUUGUCGUUCAUAGAUUAAAACAAUGGCACAUUCUUCAAGUGGUGUUCUCACUGUAUUUAUGGAAAAAUUUUGUUGUUCUGUUUCCUCUAAAUUUCCGUGGCACAAUUGAACACGCUCAUCACUGUAAAAAAUAUAGUGAUUAUUAUCAACACACCCAACAGUAGUGUAGUGUUGGUGGUGAUGAUUGACAGACGCUUUGAACUCAUAGGUCUCGUUGUUAAUAAAAAUGUUAUUAUCAAGAGAGAUUCUCUUUUGUGCACUACGAUGAAUAUUUAUUAUCAGGAGACUGGGCGGUCUGACCAAUUCACGUUUGACCUCAUGUAACUUUUCACCACAAUGUUCACAAUUAAGCAAUUUCUGUUCCAUUAGCCAUUUGUUAAUGCCCUCUUGUAUACGUAUUUGUGCUUCUUCUAUAUCUACAAGAUUGAUUAAGAUUCUUUGGGAUCGGAAUUGUUCUUUGAUUUUUGAGGAACUGCAACUUUGACAUGUUUUUGUAGUUUUGACAGUUCCCUUGUGAAUUUGGCAAUCGUAUGUUUGAUCAAGACGGUCAAAAAGUUUAACAAGGAACUCAUCCGCAUCGUGUUCUAUUCCUAGGCGCCAACCAGGGAGCAGGGACUCUGUUAGUUUUAUAAUUGGCAUUUUAGGGAGAUCCCUUAGGGGUAAAUUGUGAUGCCGAUAGGCACGAUUUACAACCUCAUUCAGUGCACAAAGAGGACAAAUCUCAUUUUGAAGGUGGUAACCAGAGCAUUGCUGGUGCAAGUAUUGACACUCCCUUAAGAAGGCAUCAAAACUUCUGGUAUGGCAAAGAGCUAUAAUUGGGGCAUUCAAAAAGCACACAUUAUUUCCACUGUUUUGCAAACCUUUAAAUGUUUGUCUGGAAAUAUCAGGUCGAGUUUUUAGGGACAGCAAAUUUUCAUUAGGUAUGGGAUCAAGAGGUGACAAUUUUUGUUUUGGGGUUGGUAAUUUCCUUUUCUUAAUGUCACAUGAUGGGCCUCCUAGAGAUAACUUAUCGUCAAAUUGUCUUUUUAAAACCUUUGGUUUAACAGAUUUGUUCUUUUGGUAAUUAGUCAAGGUUUCAUAAUCCUCUUGACUUAUGUGUGGUGCUGCUUCAGCUACCAGAUAUUCCUGGGUUUCGAUCAACUUUUCAAGCACUCUCAUAAUAACAUUUGUAUCGGUGUCUAUGAACAUAAGUUGCACGAUGCGAAUCAGUUCCUCUUUGUCCUUUUUGAUACUUAACCUUUUUGCAAAAGCUUUAUCUAUGAUACUGUCUGCCAAAUCAUUAUAAUGAGUAGUCCAAAAUGGGUCGCCACAGUUUUUAUGUCGGUACAUGCGUUCAGACUUAACUUUUACGGCUUCUUCAAAUGCUUGUGCAUCAAGAACAUUUUCCUUAAGCCUUUGUACUUUAAGGUCCAUGUAAUUUGGAAAAGUACGUAUAUGAAGAUGGGCGGGACUUCUAACCCUAGAAAUGGCAACCAGGAAUAUGCCAGGCACAUGAAACCAGCCAUCCAGAUCAACUUCAGCCAAUGGGAAAUUAGCUCCUUGUCCUUUAAAACUUGUUGCUGCAUCUCCUCCUUCGAGUGGCAAGGCGAUUCUAAUCAUGGGUAUGUUUGACUUUGUCUUCCCAGCUUUUUGUUUGUAACUUUCAACAGGAGGAAUUGGGACAUAAUUUUCGCAUC
This is an RNA transcript of Dreissena polymorpha, 3617 nucleotides long. RefSeq lists it as uncharacterized. The record is from RefSeq and is a predicted model, not a curated record. Lineage: Eukaryota; Metazoa; Mollusca; Bivalvia; Myida; Dreissenidae. The transcript is spliced from 2 exons.